RNAcentral lists this ribosomal RNA (426 nucleotides) under uncultured bacterium. Its description in RNAcentral is "partial 16S ribosomal RNA". It matches the Rfam family "Bacterial small subunit ribosomal RNA", at positions 354 to 796 of the family's 1533-position model. The record is from RNAcentral.
GUGAGGAAUUUUCCGCAAUGGGCGAAAGCCUGACGGAGCAAUGCCGCGUGAAGGAUGAAGGCCUAUGGGUUGUAAACUUCUUUUCUCAGAAAAGAAUUAUGACGGUAUCUGAGGAAUAAGCAUCGGCUAACUCUGUGCCAGCAGCCGCGGUAAGACAGAGGAUGCAAGCGUUAUCCGGAAUGAUUGGGCGUAAAGCGUCUGUAGGUUGUUUAAAAAGUAUUCUGUCAAAGAUUAGGGCUUAACCCUAGAUAGGCAGAAUAAACUUUUAAGCUAGAGUUUGGUAGAGGCAGAGGGAAUUCCCGGUGGAGCGGUGAAAUGCGUAGAUAGCGGGAGGAACACCAAAGGCGAAGGCACUCUGCUGGGCCAAUACUAACACUGAGAGACGAAAGCGAGGGGAGCAAAUGGGAUUAGAUACCCUUGUAGUCC